RNAcentral lists this ribosomal RNA (496 nucleotides) under uncultured bacterium. RNAcentral describes it as "partial 16S ribosomal RNA". It matches the Rfam family "Bacterial small subunit ribosomal RNA", at positions 29 to 507 of the family's 1533-position model. The record is from RNAcentral.
AUGAACGCUGGCGGCGUGCCUAAUACAUGCAAGUCGAGCGAACAGACGAGGAGCUUGCUCCUCUGACGUUAGCGGCGGACGGGUGAGUAACACGUGGAUAACCUACCUAUAAGACUGGGAUAACUUUGGGAAACCGGAGCUAAUACCGGAUAAUAUAUUGAACCGCAUGGUUCAAUAGUGAAAGACGGUUUUGCUGUCACUUAUAGAUGGAUCCGCGCCGCAUUAGCUAGUUGGUAAGGUAACGGCUUACCAAGGCGACGAUGCGUAGCCGACCUGAGAGGGUGAUCGGCCACACUGGAACUGAGACACGGUCCAGACUCCUACGGGAGGCAGCAGUAGGGAAUCUUCCGCAAUGGGCGAAAGCCUGACGGAGCAACGCCGCGUGAGUGAUGAAGGUCUUCGGAUCGUAAAACUCUGUUAUUAGGGAAGAACAAAUGUGUAAGUAACUACGCACGUCUUGACGGUACCUAAUCAGAAAGCCACGGCUAACUACGUG